This 74-nucleotide transfer RNA is filed under the name Candidatus Blackburnbacteria bacterium RIFCSPHIGHO2_01_FULL_44_64. RNAcentral describes it as "tRNA-Thr". It matches the Rfam family "tRNA". From Rfam's summary of the family: Transfer RNA (tRNA) molecules are approximately 80 nucleotides in length. Their secondary structure includes four short double-helical elements and three loops (D, anti-codon, and T loops). Lineage: Bacteria; Candidatus Blackburniibacteriota. The record is from RNAcentral. RNAcentral also lists the same sequence under 4 other names.
GCCGAGGUAGCUCAGUGGCCUAGAGCAGCGGUUUUGUAACCCGCAGGUCGGUGGUUCAAAUCCACUCCUCGGCU